This 429-nucleotide ribosomal RNA is filed under the name Chloroflexota bacterium. RNAcentral describes it as "Chloroflexi bacterium partial 16S ribosomal RNA". It matches the Rfam family "Bacterial small subunit ribosomal RNA", at positions 355 to 776 of the family's 1533-position model. The record is from RNAcentral. Lineage: Bacteria; Bacillati; Chloroflexota.
UGGGGAAUAUUGCACAAUGGGCGCAAGCCUGAUGCAGCCAUGCCGCGUGUGUGAAGAAGGCCUUCGGGUUGUAAAGCACUUUCAGCGGGGAGGAAGGCGAUAAGGUUAAUAACCUUGUCGAUUGACGUUACCCGCAGAAGAAGCACCGGCUAACCCCGUGCCAGCAGCCGCGGUAAUACGGAGGGUGCAAGCGUUAAUCGGAAUUACUGGGCGUAAAGCGCACGCAGGCGGUCUGUCAAGUCGGAUGUGAAAUCCCCGGGCUCAACCUGGGAACUGCAUUCGAAACUGGCAGGCUAGAGUCUUGUAGAGGGGGGUAGAAUUCCAGGUGUAGCGGUGAACUGCGUAGAGAUCUGGAGAAAUACCGGUGGCGAAGGCGGCCCCCUGGACAAAGACUGACGCUCAGGUGCGAAAGCGUGGGGAGCAAACAGG